Molecule: unclassified non-coding RNA, 355 nt
Filed under: soil metagenome
Description: partial contains 5.8S ribosomal RNA, internal transcribed spacer 2, and large subunit ribosomal RNA
Rfam family: 5.8S ribosomal RNA (bases 1-120)
Source: RNAcentral
GAUGAAGAACGUAGUGAAAUGCGAUAAGUAGUGUGAAUUGCAGAAUUCAGUGAAUCAUCGAAUCUUUGAACGCACAUUGCGCCUUCUAGUAUUCUGGGAGGCAUGCCUGUUUGAGCGUCAUUAAACCUCUCUCAAGUAUGAUUACUUGGAUGUUAAGGAAGAGUACCUUAAACUUAAGGAGUGUUCUCCUUUGAAAUUGAUUAGCAGAUGGUAAUGUUAUUAAAUCCCUGAUGUUGUAAGAAAUAACAGUGGUUUUGUAGACUAUUAUCUAGCUUUAAAUUAUAAUUUUUAUUAUGGUUGACCUCAAAUCAGGUAAGGAUACCCGCUGAACUUAAGCAUAUCAAUAAGCGGAGGA